CGCCAAUGGCGCUUCGGCCUCACAAUGGAUUCAGCCAAUCCGCUACGACGUAAACACGGAAACGAUCACCGACACGGUUACGCAGGACAUUAGACGUAAGCUGGAGUCUACGAGGGAACCAGUCUUUCAAACCACAACACCAAAGAGCCACAAGGCCAUGAGCGAUAAGGAGUGGAUGGCAAGGACCAGCUGAAGGCAGAAGAAGUGGCACACUCUCUAUCAGAAGUAUGUGGCCUCAGACUCCGCACCAGCAGCACCAGUACCACCAGCACCACCAGCACCAGCUCCUCUAGCUGCUAUUCCACAGUCUGUGACCUGAAACUGUUGUUGGAUGCCCGUUUUGAUAUCUAAUAUCAAAACGGGCGAAGCAUCAGCCUCAGCACCAGCAGCAGCAUCAGCAGCACCAGCACAAGCUCCUCUAGCUGCUAUUCCGGUCUGUGGCCUCAGACUUAGCGCUAAAUGUGUCAAUGUUUGCUAAAUCAUGCUUUGCUGGGUCAAAGUCUGCCUCACUAAAGCCACAAUUAGUGGCUAGGAGGACCCCCAGCCCUUCUCCUCCGUUUAUAUCCUCUGUGAGGAACCCAGCGGCCCUGCUCCUCCUCCUCCUCUUCUUCCUCCUCCUCUUCCAUCCUAUGUGAGGACACCCAGCCCAGCUGGAAACUACAGCAUUGCAGAAGAUGCUACAGGGUGAGCCAGGAGGAGUUCAGCUAGCUGCUGCUGGGACUGCAGUUCCAUUCUGGUUGCCAAGUGAAAUGAGAAAGACCCUCCCUGUGCAGGAACAGAGGUGGAUUUCAAACACCCUCUUUCCCUCCGGCAAACUGCAACCAGAUUUGAAGCUGUGGUACGAGCUCCCUGUCCCGGCCCUCAUCUACCAUUAGACACCAACACCCGACCGCUUUUGAGUCGGCUGGACACAGGGAGGUUCAAGUCCCCUAAAAUAAGCAGGACUUCACUCCAGGGUUGGAUAGUGUCAAGAGGGACAGCCUUACCACCACUGGCCCACUUGCACAGUGGCCUGAUUGCUGCCGCCUGAUAGAGACGAUAUUCAUCAGGCUGUGUCUCAUACAUCGUAGUCCCAAGAAGAAGGGGGCUGGGACGGUGCCCCCUUAUAGUCAUCCUCGAUGACUAUAGAAAAGUCAGGCAGUGCAUUCUGGACAACGGGAGAGUUAUGCAGCAGACCACCUUGCAGCUGGUGGACGUGAGCCAUACCACUCACACAAUAAAGGGUGAAGAAGCAGGACAAUUCAGAGGUCAUACAAGGGCUAAAUAUGCCGAGUCACAUGUCCCUGGCAGAUCACCCUAUUAUUUGUGCCACUCACCCACCAGCAUCAACACCCACUGUCGGACAGGCAAAAUUAAAGAGGAAGUCGGAGCGGCAGCAACCUUUCCUUUCUCCCAUCCCAUGCCACAAGGCAGUUGUUCCCCGCUUCACCCUCGGUCCCUCAGAGGGUUACUCCUGGUCCUGCUCCUGCUCCUGCCCGCAGAAAGCUUACGAGAAAAGUGCUACACAACACAUGCAAAAAAUGCGGGCAGUUCAGGACUGCAGAGACUGGGCACAGUCAGUACAAGGGGGUAAUUUACUGCCCCUCAGUAGACACUGUUUCAAAGGAGCAGUGGAUGGAGAACAGGCGAAAAGAAGUACCGGUAACUCUUUCGUUGAUUAUCCAUAUGACACUGGACAUUACUCUUGUAUAUAGUUGUCUAAUAUGUUUAUUUUAUUAUUGUGUGUGGUGUUAUAUUGUUGUAUUAUAUGUGAUUUUAUAUUAUAUUAUACUUUAGAGACUGGUGUUUUUAUAUCUUGUCCUCAUUUAUUUAAAUAAAACUUUGCUUUUCUCAU
Long non-coding RNA from Cyclopterus lumpus (lumpfish), 1834 nucleotides. RefSeq lists it as uncharacterized. The transcript is spliced from 5 exons. The record is from RefSeq and is a predicted model, not a curated record. Lineage: Eukaryota; Metazoa; Chordata; Actinopteri; Perciformes; Cyclopteridae.